GUUCUCUCUGCUACCACACGGCAAGCGGUACCGGAGCGCCAAGUCUAGGUCCAAAAGACUUCUUAACAACUUCUACCCCCAAACAAUAAGACUCCUGAACAGCUAAUGAAUUGGCUACCCAGACUAUUUGCAAUGCCCCCCCCCCCACACUGCUGCUACUCUCUGUUUAUUAUCUGUGCAUAGUCACUUCAACUCUACCUACAUGUACAUAUUACCUCAAUUAACCGGUAACCCCACACAUUGACUCUGUACCGGUACCCCCUGUAUAUAGUCUCCACAUUGACUCUGUACCGGUACCCCCUGUAUAUAGCCUCCACAUUGACUCUGUACCGGUACCCCCUGUAUAUAGCUUCCACAUUGACUCUGUACCAGUAACCCCUGUAUAUAGCCUCCACAUUGACUCUGUACCGGUACCCCCUGUAUAUAGCCUCCACAUUGACUCUGUACCGGUACCCCCCUGUAUAUAGUCUCCACAUUGACUCUGUACCGGUACCCCCUGUAUAUAGCCUCCACAUUGACUCUGUACCGGUACCCCCUGUAUAUUGCCUCCACAUUGACUCUGUACCGGUAUCCCCUGUAUAUAGCCUCCACAUUGACUCUGUACCGGUACCCCCUGUAUAUAGCCUCCACAUUGACUCUGUACCGGGACCCCCUGUAUAUAGCCUCCACAUUGACUCUGUACCGGUACCCCCUGUAUAUAGCCUCCACAUUGACUCUGUACCGGUACCCCCUGUAUAUAGCCUCCACAUUGACUCUGUACCGUAAUACCCUGUAUAUAGCCUCACUACUGUUAUUUUACCUCUGCUCUUUAAUUAUUUGUUACUGUUAUUUUUUAUUUUUUAUUAAACAGCAUUGUUAGUUAAGGGCUUGUAAAUAAGCAUUUCACUGUAAGAUCUACACCUGUUUUAUGUGGCACAUGUGACAAAUACAAUUUCAUUUGAGGUGGUACCAAUACCCUGUAUCUCUCUGAGGCUGUAAUACUGUUGAUGACCACUAGGUGGAGCCAAUACCCUGUAUCUCUCUGAGGCUGUAAUACUGUUGAUGACCACUAGGUGGAGCCAAUACCCUGUAUCUCUCUGAGGCUGUAAUACUGUUGAUGACCACUAGGUGGUACCAAUACCCUGUAUCUCUCUGAGGCUGUAAUAUUGUUGAUGACCACUAGGUGGUACCAACACCCUGUAUCUCUCUGAGGCUGUAAUACUGUUGAUGACCACUAGGUGGUGCCAAUACCCUGUAUCUCUCUGAGGCUGUAAUACUGUUGAUGACCACCAGGUGGUGCCAAUACCCUGUAUCUCUGAGGCUGUAAUACUGUUGAUGACCACUAGGUGGUGCCAACACCCUGUAUCUCGCUGAGGCUGUAAUACUGUUGAUGACCACUAGGUGGAGCCAAUAUCCUGUCGCCGAUUUGAGAUCAUAACAUUGAAC
Molecule: long non-coding RNA, 1425 nt
Filed under: Salmo salar (Atlantic salmon)
Lineage: Eukaryota; Metazoa; Chordata; Actinopteri; Salmoniformes; Salmonidae
Description: lncRNA (ENSSSAG00000098163.1)
Source: RNAcentral